CCUACGGGAGGCAGCAGUGAGGAAUAUUGGUCAAUGGGCGAGAGCCUGAACCAGCCAAGUCGCGUGAAGGAUGAAGGACCUAUGGUUUGUAAACUUCUUUUAUAUGGGAAUAAAGUGAGGAACGUGUGCCGUUUUGUAUGUACCAUAUGAAUAAGCAUCGGCUAACUCCGUGCCAGCAGCCGCGGUAAUACGGAGGAUGCGAGCGUUAUCCGGAUUUAUUGGGUUUAAAGGGUGCGUAGGUGGGUUAUUAAGUCAGCGGUGAAAGUUUGUGGCUCAACCCUAAAAUUGCCGUUGAUACUGGUUGACUUGCGUAUAUUUGCGGUCGGCGGCAUGCGUGGUGUAGCGGU
RNAcentral lists this ribosomal RNA (347 nucleotides) under uncultured bacterium. RNAcentral describes it as "partial 16S ribosomal RNA". It matches the Rfam family "Bacterial small subunit ribosomal RNA", at positions 338 to 682 of the family's 1533-position model. The record is from RNAcentral.